RNAcentral lists this ribosomal RNA (252 nucleotides) under uncultured bacterium. RNAcentral's name for it is "partial 16S ribosomal RNA". It matches the Rfam family "Bacterial small subunit ribosomal RNA", at positions 524 to 776 of the family's 1533-position model. The record is from RNAcentral.
UACGGAGGGUGCAAGCGUUAUCCGGAUUCACUGGGCGUAAAGCGUGCGCAGGCGGUUUCGUAAGUCUGUCGUGAAAGCCCCGGGCUCAACCUGGGAAUUGCGAUGGAGACUGCGAGGCUAGAGUGUGUCAGAGGGGGUAGAAUUCCACGUGUAGCAGUGAAAUGCGUAGAUAUGUGGAGGAACACCGAUGGCGAAGGCAGGUCUCUGGGCCACUACUGACGCUGAGAAGCGAAAGCAUGGGGAGCGAACAGG